AUCCCUAUAGCACAAUGGACAGUGCUUUGGAAUUCUCGUUCAAAGGCCGUGGGUUCAAAUCCUUCUUGGGAUG
Trichonephila clavipes is the source of this 73-nucleotide non-coding RNA. Lineage: Eukaryota; Metazoa; Arthropoda; Arachnida; Araneae; Nephilidae. The record is from the annotation of a GenBank genome assembly.